Molecule: ribosomal RNA, 459 nt
Filed under: uncultured bacterium
Lineage: Bacteria
Description: partial 16S ribosomal RNA
Rfam family: Bacterial small subunit ribosomal RNA
Source: RNAcentral
CCUACGGGUGGCAGCAGUGAGGAAUAUUGGUCAAUGGGCGCGAGCCUGAACCAGCCAAGUCGCGUGAGGGAAGACGGUCCUAGGGAUUGUAAACCUCUUUUGUCGGGGAGCAAAAGACGCCACGCGUGGCGUUCCGAGAGUACCCGACGAAAAAGCAUCGGCUAGCUCCGUGCCAGCAGCCGCGGUAAUACGGAGGAUGCGAGCGUUAUCCGGAUUUAUUGGGUUUAAAGGGUGCGUAGGCUGAAGAUUAAGUCAGCGGUAAAAUUGAGAGGCUCAACCUCUUCUAGCCGUGGAAACUGGGUUUCUUGAGUGAGUGAGAAGUAUGCGGAAUGCGUGGUGGAGCGGUGAAAUGCGUAGAUAUCACGAAGAACUCCGAUUGCGAAGGCAGCUUACCGGCGCUCAACUGACGCUGAUGCACGAAAGUGUGGGUAGCGAACAGGAUUAGAUACCCUGGUAGUC